Alnus glutinosa is the source of this 537-nucleotide long non-coding RNA. RefSeq lists it as uncharacterized. NCBI's taxonomy places the organism in Eukaryota, Viridiplantae, Streptophyta, Magnoliopsida, Fagales, Betulaceae. The transcript has 4 exons. The record is from RefSeq and is a predicted model, not a curated record.
GGGUCAUCCGACCCGAAAGAAAACAAAACAAAAGGAGAGGAUUUUCUCUUAAGGUUUUUAUACAAAAAUUUUGAUCUAUGAAGAUUUAACUGUCCAAAUUCAAAUCCGUCUUCGGUAAUGUGAUCUAUGAAGCUCGAUCUACGUUUUUACUGAUCGUUUUGAGGUAAUGAGUUACUUGGAACUUGCUUGAAGCCACCCAAACCAUGGGUUUUGGUUUGGUGAAAUUUUGUGAUACAUUGCAAAGUGGUGUAUAGGAGACUUAGUGCUUAAUAUCCACGCAGCCAAGGUUCUGCUGAUAUAGAUAAUGACUUGUCCACCGAACGUAUGAGAUGCUAUGAUUUGAGCACAUCGCGACAGUUAUAAGUCAUGGACUCAUGGGUAGUCCGCAUUUGGGUAUUUUAUUUAUGGCUCGUGUCAUACGUGGCAUAUGUAUUUGUUGAGCCCGUAUUUUAGUGUAUAGUCAGUGCAAUAUGUUUUAUAAGCCUUAAAUAGAUAGACUUGUAAAUGGCUCUUUUUGUAAUUAACUGUUAUGUAUUA